This is a long non-coding RNA of Grus americana (Whooping crane), 3933 nucleotides long. RefSeq lists it as uncharacterized. NCBI's taxonomy places the organism in Eukaryota, Metazoa, Chordata, Aves, Gruiformes, Gruidae. The transcript has 3 exons. The record is from RefSeq and is a predicted model, not a curated record.
GCAUCAUCAGAGUCUUUCAUGUGAUUAAUUCUCCUCUGCAAUUUGUGAAGAGAGCAAUCUCUGAACCAAAGGAGGUGGAGAAAUGUUCCUUACACCUAGAGAAAAAGGUGAAGUGGGACACAGCUCAGCCUGAGACAGAUGUCUAUGUAAGUGCUAGAAGUUUCAUCCAAACUAUCUGCCCAAGUUCCUACUGCAGACAAUUGAGGCCUUCCAGAAGGCAAGUUCUUCACCGUAUCUGAGACAAUAAUCACAGAGCUGGGAUGAAGCUCCUUCCAGUGGUAUUGAUCUGUCCCCAUUACCUCUACAGGAAGUUUGCAGGACUGUUAAAUACCUAACACUUAUACAGUACCCUCAGAAAUCCUGAACUUUAGCCACUCAUUAACUUUAAAAGGGCCAGACUUAACCUUCUGCAAUAAUUUGUUGCUUUUGCCUCAUUGAAAUCAAAGACUGUUAGGAGUCUAUGCACCCUUGAGGAACAGUACCUGUGACUUUGGGCUGCAUUUGACGCUCUCUGAGAAAUCAAGGGACGACAGAUCUCUUAAGUCCAUUGUAGCCUUUGCUGUUUAGGAGACACAUUAGAGAGACUUAUACUGCUUAAAUUUCCUAUAUGGAUAGAACUCAUCACCAGUAAAACCAUGCCUCCAAGGAGAGGAGUUUCCUUGUUCAUGAAUGUCAUCUCCAAACUGAUUAUGGCCGCAGGUGUCUCCAAUCUCAGCUCCUCUGCUGAGGUUAUUACAAGUCAGGAUAAGCUGUGGUCUGACCUUGCAGUGUACUUCCUCUGCCAAAAAGAAAGAAAAAGAAGGAACAAGAGCUCCCAGGACAAGAAACGAAAAUUGAGACAAUGGGGAGACACUUUUGAGCAAAGCAAAAUGCUGACAGUAGGAAGAAUGUAUUGCAUCAAAACCUACAUCUAAAUUGAAUGUAUAGAAUAAUUUAUUUUUCAACAUACUCAAUGAAAAUUAUUUUAGAAUGUAAUUCAGAUCUUUGCACUGUUAUAUCAAAAAUAUCACACCAGAAUUGAGAACAAAACCUCUGAAAAUGUGGCAAUGAUGUCCAAUAUCUGAGUAAUUUACUUCAUUUUAUCCCUUUAAUGAUUGUUUAUCUUGAGGUGUUUCCUUUAUGAACAUGCUUAUAAAUCAUAAUCAAAUCAUCACCUUUGUGCUUAUUCUGAUACAUAGAUUUUUGUCUAUUCAUCCAUUUUGAAGUAGAUUUUCAAUAUUUGAAUUAUUCAAUUUUCUUUUCCAAACCCUGUCCAGCUUAUCAACUCUCUUUUAAAAUUAUUCUAGUGCACAUCAGAAGUAGAAAUAGUAAUAUAUUGACGGCCUCACUAGCCUCCAAGUAGUGUAAAAAGAGCAUUCUCACCAGUUGUGGAUGCAAUCUACUGUAACAGCAAUUAUAAGGGAAGGCGAUGAGGACACCUUGCCCACUGAGAUUCAAAAGGUAAUUUGGGAUAACAGGACUCAAUUUGAAAAGGAUUUCCAAUCUUGGUGGUAUGUAGAUAAUUUCACUUAUGACCCCACUAACAGUAAAGCCACAGCUUUUGUUUUGACAAUACGCGAUGCUUCAAUAUACACCAUAUACCAAAUCAUUGUGCUGGGAUUAAUUCACCAUGGAACUGUACUCUGUCCGUUAGAACACAGAGUAUGGGUCAAACAAAAAGGGAACAAAUGGCAAACUAUUGAUGUUGAUGCAUCUGUUGCACAGGAACAACAGGGACUUAUUUGUGAAAGUAAUGCUAUUAAGGACCAAGACAUUUAUUCUGACACUGAACAAAAUGUUUGUCAUUUUCAAAUACAUCCUGAUGAAACUGUACUUAUAUAAGUUGGAAAUGGAUGUGUUUGUAUAAGAACCCUUUGUGAUUCUAUAUUUAUACAUAACACCACUGUAGAGACAUAUAAUCAGUCAAAUAUCUGUAUCUGUAAUUUUACCAAAAUUAGGGGAUAUGACUUUAACUACUCAGCUCCUGUCACAACCCUCCAAUUGCUACAAUCUAACUAUACAUUCUAUCAAGAUUUAUUGCCUACCCCUAUUGGAAUGAAUCUCAAAUUGGUAAUAAAACUUUUGCAACAUGAUGACCUGAGUCAAUUUCUAAAACAAAUUUGGACAAUGGACAAAGAAUCUUGACUACCGUCCAUCAUGAUGCAGAGGAGAGACACCAUGUGCUACAAGAAGUGAAGAAAGAUGGAGAACAUCACUGAUGGGAAACUUUUUGGAUGGUCACCAACAGCAACUGGAAUUUGGAAUUUGAUGCUGCAUCCAAUUGUAGUUUUGUUAGUUUUGACCUUAUUAUGUCUAUCGCUAAUAAGAAUUUUGUAUAUCAAAGUUUGGCAAAAGCUAAAACAAAUUAUGUCAACCUAACAUGUAAAACACAUACAAUCAACUGAUUCUGUAUGUGUAUAUACAAUUGUAUAUAACUAGCAUUAAUUGUGACCCUUAAACCAAACAGCUUAUCAAAUAAUUGGACUCUUACCACUGAUCUGAAAUACACCACAUAUUUAUAACACAGAGGCAAGAGGAAACCGUGCUACCACUCCGUGAGUCAAUAAAGUGGAUUAACUGUAGUCACAGGGUGGAGCCUGCUAGCAGUACUAGCAGUAGUUUGGUAUAAGCUCCAAAGGAGGUAAAGGCCUGAGCUGUAGCGAGGCCAAGAAAUCCUGUCCUCUAAAAACCCACAAAGGAACAGAGUGGCAGAGUGAGCAUCGAUGCAUAUGAGCUUGGAUUUCGGAUCAUGUGAUUGACACAUGAACAGUGAGUGGCUUUUUCAAGACUCAGUUAUCAAGGAAUAAAGUUGUGGGUGCAAGGGGUGUCAUGCAUACCUUUCCCAUUUCAUGUAAUUUGACUACAAGCCAACCACUUUACUGCACAAAUAUGACAGCCCAAGUGAGCCUUCUUUGAGGUCUCCCUGCUAAGUAGCGUGGCUGCAUGGUGGUGAUCUCCCCUGGAGCUGGGACACCUCUCAAGGUUGUUCCUCUAGGCAGAGAGACCUUUUACCAAUGACAGAUCUUUGGUAAGUGACUGAUAGCAUGCUGAAUUAAUACUAAUGAAACAUUACUGAUCCAUGUAGUUACUCAAUAUUAAUUAUUACAAACUUUGCAUAUAUAAUCCUUAGACAUAAACCAUUGACCAAGUCUGGGACUAGGAUUGGACCUAGCCACACCUAGACUCUUCUGAGUGGGAGUUUAGAAAGAAAGGGGGUCCACUCUGAACCUCAUGAAUCAAUGGGAGGGUCUUCCUUACCCUUCUGUGUCUCUGGUCUUUGUGCAAAUCAUGCUAACUCGAUUCUGACUCAAUUUUCCUUUGUGUGUUUCUUCCAUGCAGUAAUUAAUAGAGUGAACCUUGCCAUCAAACUUUUACAACAUCAUAUUAAAACCACUUUUGCUAAUACCUGUGACAGUAGUUCCUUAAGUGAUCCGAACUUUGUUAAAUUCCAUCUAAUUUAUUGAACUCUGUCAAAUUAUUGUUUCACCUCAGUAAAAUAUAUUGCUGCUUCUUUCUUUUGGGUGAGGCGCAUUCCACUCCUUCGCGAGUGGCCACAGGGAGGAGGAAGAAGGGACUCUGCCACAGGGGCUCCUUGGCAGGGGCUGGCUCAGACGUAAACAGAAAUUUGAGUCCAUUUGUUCUAAUCUUUCCAAAAGCAUUUAGGCCAUCAUAUUUUAUGGGGAAAUGGUUGCAAGAAAUUUAACUCUGUUGUGUGUUAUAUUAGACAGAGCGCUGGAAACUUUUCCAUGAAUAUUCAUUCAAAUUUGAACAUGAAUUUAAUUCGGACCAUGCUAAUGACCCUGUCUUUCUAAAAUUUGCCUAAAAUAAGUGUGUACAUUCAGAUGGAAAUUUUUCAAUUUACAAUUGCAGUUUGUAUAAGUUAUUUGCUUAUAAUUAUAUGUUUAGCCGAAGUGAAAUGCAAAUCAAUGUACUUUCCAUUACAUAAAGAUGACA